This is a non-coding RNA of Pantherophis guttatus, 675 nucleotides long. The record is from RefSeq and is a predicted model, not a curated record. Lineage: Eukaryota; Metazoa; Chordata; Lepidosauria; Squamata; Colubridae.
UUCCCAUUUCUUCUAUUUCAGUGUUUCCAGUCCAACCCAAGAGAAGCAGAUUCUUGCUUCAGAAACUACAGAAAAUCUCUCUUCGAAAGUUUUCUACCCGGGGCCAGAAGGAAUGAACAUUUGUUUCCAAUACAUGCAUCUCUAUGUCCCAAAGAACUUUAAAGACAAAACCAAAACACUGAGACAUUCUUGGAGCUCCCAGAAUACAGCAGCAUUUUAUUGGUACAAGAAAAAUUAUCUCCAAAGUAUUUCAGCAAAGGAACAUAUAUAAGUAAUACAGGAUUGGCCAUAUAGGAGAAAAGAAUUGAAUAAAAAAACUGAACGGGAGGAGGCUAUGUACCUGCAGUCUUUUUCAAACUCCUUGGAUUCAUCAGUGCAGUAGAAGAAUCUGCCUUUAAAGAGCUGGACAGCAACCACAGCGAAGAUGAACAUGAAGAGCAUGUAUACAAUAAGAAUAUUGAGGACAUUUUUGAGUGAAUUCACCACACAGUCAAAGACAGCCUGUGGAAAACAGAUACGCUGGAUGCAGUGGCUCAGGGCGAUGGCUCAGUUGGCAGCCUGUGUUCAAGACCAGAGUACUGCACAAAAGGGUGAGUUCCGGUUCCUGCCCCAGCUCCUGCCCACCUAGCACUUCGAAAGCACGCAAAUGUGAGUAGAAAAAUAGGUACUGCUUCA